Long non-coding RNA from Gadus morhua (Atlantic cod), 724 nucleotides. RefSeq lists it as uncharacterized. The transcript has 2 exons. The record is from RefSeq and is a predicted model, not a curated record. NCBI's taxonomy places the organism in Eukaryota, Metazoa, Chordata, Actinopteri, Gadiformes, Gadidae.
GGUGUGUGAAGGCAAACGAAAACGACAUUAGAAUGGAUGUAAUGAACUGAUAAAUGUAAAUUAGUGUGUAGAACUGAUACAAAUAAAAGCUAGAUAGCACUGUAGUGUAAUCCAACAGUGUCAAACGUGCCGUGACACACAAAAGGUUGAAAAACUAUGGCCUAGGCAAAAGAGCCAAAAUGUUUUCUUCUCCUGUCAUUUGCCGCCACGAAAUGCUUGCAAAUUGACUUCUUGUCAGUAAGUCAAGUCUAUCCUGAUGGACAUGACAGACAGCAACAUGGUUGAGUCUGUUUUGAGACAUUGUGGACCGGAGCCAGGUUUUGAGCCUGCGGAGGACACUAAAACUUCUCUGCUAUUCUACUGCCGUCUUUUCAUUUUAACAGCUCUAACCUGUUGCGUUAGCUGCAGACACCCGCAUCUCAAACAGUCUGAGCCGUUGAUGGGAUGCGGCAGCUUAUGGCUGUCUUGCGAGACAGCCGUAUUCACGCGAGAUCACGAGAUCACGCGAUUAGAGUUGCAGGCUGGCAGCGAUCAGCAGCGGUGACAGCGGCGCUUACGUCCCCGAUGGAAAGCAGGCAACUAUUCUUCUAGGCAGCGAUUCGAAGGCGUUUCCAGCCUGAAGUCCUUAGCCUGAACUUCCAACCGCCCCCAACCCUACGCGCUGCCAUACAUGUGGCAGGUGACAAGACGCUGUAUUGCGCUUUCAAAAUAAAAGCGAGUAAAA